This 93-nucleotide transfer RNA is filed under the name Candidatus Saccharimonadota bacterium. RNAcentral describes it as "tRNA-Ser". It matches the Rfam family "tRNA". From Rfam's summary of the family: Transfer RNA (tRNA) molecules are approximately 80 nucleotides in length. Their secondary structure includes four short double-helical elements and three loops (D, anti-codon, and T loops). The record is from RNAcentral. Lineage: Bacteria; Candidatus Saccharimonadota.
GGAGAGGUGCAGGAGUGGCUGAACUGGCACGCUUGGAAAGCGUGUAGGGUAUGUCAAGUACUCUCGUGGGUUCGAAUCCCACCCUCUCCGCCA